UCCGGCUUAUCACCGGCGGUUUCUUUAGAGUGCCCAACUAAAUGAUGGCAACUAAAGACGAGGGUUGCGCUCGUUGCGGGACUUAACCCAACAUCUCGCGACACGAGCUGACGACAGCCAUGCAGCACCUGUGCGGCGUCCGGCCGAACCGAAAGGUCCAUCUCUGGACCCGCGACGCCCAUGUCAAGGGCUGGUAAGGUUCUGCGCGUUGCUUCGAAUUAAACCACAUGCUCCACCGCUUGUGCGGUCCCCCGCCAAUUCCUUUGAGUUUCAACCUUGCGAUCGUAGUUCCCAGGCGGUUCACUUAAUGCGUUAGCUGCGGCACCGGGGCAAAGCCCCAACACCUAGUGAACAUCGUUUAUGGCCAAGACUAC
RNAcentral lists this unclassified non-coding RNA (374 nucleotides) under uncultured Alphaproteobacteria bacterium. RNAcentral's name for it is "contains 16S-23S intergenic spacer region". Lineage: Bacteria; Pseudomonadati; Pseudomonadota; Alphaproteobacteria. The record is from RNAcentral.